GACGAACGCUGGCGGCGUGCUUAACACAUGCAAGUCGAACGGAAAGGCCCUGCUUUUGUGGGGUGCUCGAGUGGCGAACGGGUGAGUAACACGUGAGUAACCUGCCCUUGACUUUGGGAUAACUUCAGGAAACUGGGGCUAAUACCGGAUAGGAGCUCCUGCUGCAUGGUGGGGGUUGGAAAGUUUCGGCGGUUGGGGAUGGACUCGCGGCUUAUCAGCUUGUUGGUGGGGUAGUGGCUUACCAAGGCUUUGACGGGUAGCCGGCCUGAGAGGGUGACCGGCCACAUUGGGACUGAGAUACGGCCCAGACUCCUACGGGAGGCAGCAGUGGGGAAUAUUGCACAAUGGGCGGAAGCCUGAUGCAGCAACGCCGCGUGCGGGGUGACGGCCUUCGGGUUGUAAACCGCUUUCGCCUGUGACGAAGCGUGAGUGACGGUAAUGGGUAAAGAAGCACCGGCUAACUACGUGCCAGCAGCCGCGGUGAUACGUAGGGUGCGAGCGUUGUCCGGAUUUAUUGGGCGUAAAGGGCUCGUAGGUGGUUGAUCGCGUCGGAAGUGUAAUCUUGGGGCUUAACCCUGAGCGUGCUUUCGAUACGGGUUGACUUGAGGAAGGUAGGGGAGAAUGGAAUUCCUGGUGGAGCGGUGGAAUGCGCAGAUAUCAGGAGGAACACCAGUGGCGAAGGCGGUUCUCUGGGCCUUUCCUGACGCUGAGGAGCGAAAGCGUGGGGAGCGAACAGGCUUAGAUACCCUGGUAGUCCACGCUGUAAACGGUGGGUACUAGGUGUGGGGUCCAUUCCACGGGUUCCGUGCCGUAGCUAACGCUUUAAGUACCCCGCCUGGGGAGUACGGCCGCAAGGCUAAAACUCAAAGGAAUUGACGGGGCCCCGCACAAGCGGCGGAGCAUGCGGAUUAAUUCGAUGCAACGCGUAGAACCUUACCUGGGUUUGACAUGGAUCGGGAGUGCUCAGAGAUGGGUGUGCCUCUUUUGGGGUCGGUUCACAGGUGGUGCAUGCCUGUCGUCAGCUCGUGUCGUGAGAUGUUGGGUUAAGUCCCGCAACGAGCGCAACCCUUGUUCACUGUUGCCAGCACGUUAUGGUGGGGACUCAGUGGAGACCGCCGGGGUCAACUCGGAGGAAGGUGGGGAUGACGUCAAGUCCUCAUGCCCCUUAUGUCCAGGGCUUCACGCAUGCUACAAUGGCUGGUACAGAGAGUGGCGAGCCUGUGAGGGUGAGCGAAUCUCGGAAAGCCGGUCUCAGUUCGGAUUGGGGUCUGCAACUCGACCUCAUGAAGUCGGAGUCGCUAGUAAUCGCAGAUCAGCAACGCUGCGGUGAAUACGUUCCCGGGGCU
RNAcentral lists this ribosomal RNA (1346 nucleotides) under uncultured bacterium. RNAcentral describes it as "bacterial SSU rRNA". It matches the Rfam family "Bacterial small subunit ribosomal RNA", at positions 28 to 1381 of the family's 1533-position model. The record is from RNAcentral.